GAUAAACGCUGGCGGCGUGCCUAACACAUGCAAGUCGAACGAUCCCGCAAGGGAGAGUGGCGGAAGGGUGAGUAACACGUGGGAAUCUACCUCCUCGCAGGGAACAACCUCUCGAAAGAGAGGCUAAUACCCAAAAGGGUCAGUAAUGAUCAGAGUCGAAAGGCGUGAGGAGAGGAGCCCGCGGCCCAUCAGCUAGUUGGUGAGGUAAUGGCUUACCAAGGCUACGACGGGUAGGGGAUCUGAGAGGAUGUCCCCCACACUGGAACUGAAACACGGUCCAGACGCCUACGGGUGGCAGCAGUGAGGAAUAUUGGACAAUGGGCGAAAGCCCGAUCCAGCAACGCCGCGUGGAGGAUG
RNAcentral lists this ribosomal RNA (357 nucleotides) under uncultured bacterium. RNAcentral's name for it is "bacterial SSU rRNA". It matches the Rfam family "Bacterial small subunit ribosomal RNA", at positions 28 to 410 of the family's 1533-position model. The record is from RNAcentral.